RNAcentral lists this long non-coding RNA (1072 nucleotides) under Carassius auratus (goldfish). RNAcentral describes it as "lncRNA (ENSCARG00000052458.1)". Lineage: Eukaryota; Metazoa; Chordata; Actinopteri; Cypriniformes; Cyprinidae. The record is from RNAcentral.
AUUUUCAGACAAGCACAGUUACAACAACUGUAGACUGAGGUUUGGGGCAGGAACUUCUGUUCAUGGGUCUGAACACGAUGACCGACAAAACCCCCCCUCAAACUGACCUUUGAUGCAGAGAAGAUGGUCAAAGACACCCUGAUUCCUCCAUCUGUCUCCAUCUUCAAGAGGAGGCCACUUAACUCUGCAAGGAACUGUGGAACAUGUGAGUGACUUAAACUGAAUUAUCAAACACUGUCCUGAACAUUAUUAAUAUUUAACUACUGAUAUUUUAAUUUAAUGAUGUCUCCUAUUUUGUUUCUAUAUUUUGCCACGGGAUUUACCACAAGCUCCAGUCUGGAUCCAGAACACCUGAGAAGAGAUGAUGCUAACACUGAAUCAACAAACAGAACUAACAAUUAUUGCUAAAUGUGUGACUGAAUCAUAUAAUAACUUAAUUAUUAAUAUUGAUAGUUCAUCAUCUAUCUGACUACAUCUUGUAUUAUUAUUAUUUUUAUUAUUAUUAUUUUUUCUACAAACCUUGUCAAACGUGCACAAACUACUAGCUACUACUAAAUACUGUAGAAACAUAAUUUUCUGUUAACUUUGUAACAAUUUGUAUUGUAAAAAGCGCUAUACAAAAACUUGAAUUGAAUUCACCAUAACUUUAUAGAUGCAGGUUCCAAGGAUGACGACUGUGAGGGACACAUCUUGGACGUGGGGGAUCAGAAGAGGCUCCAGAAUCCUUGAGGUGUCCUUAUGGCGGGACCAGGCCUCGUCAAUGAUAAAGUUCACAUAUGUCACCUCCGAGCAAACGCCAAGGCUACUAAGUUAAACUCACCCAUCCACACAACUGUAGAGGUUCUGGAGCAAGGACCAGUGGUGGAGAACAUGGUGGUGAUUUGCUUUGUUGAAGCUAAUGUUGAGCUCUUGUUGCUCGCUGAGGACUUCAGUGAAUACACAGCACUUCCUGAACUGACUGAUAAGAGUCUAGAAGAUCUUCUGUGCAGCUUCCACUUCAUUCAGAAGUAAUUUCAUGACCACAGAAAAAUUAGUUAUGUUGAUUAAAUGUAAGUUUCAGUUGUGUGAAAUA